GAGACAUUGUAGUGAGGCAAGAAUUCAUGAAUUACUGUUGUAACAUUGACUGGCUGUCUUCAUAUGAAAUGGGAAAAAGAUGUGCUCUUUACCGGAUGUUGCCAAAGGACGUAACAACAAAAGGUUGUCAGACAUGGGCCACUGCCGAGAAACACCAUCCAACGUCUAGCCUAAAAUCACCAGGGCUGAACACAGGAGCCCCCGGGGCAGCUGAAAGCACCUGCUAAGCAACGGAUGCUUCUAGACAAAGGCACCUCUGUCCAGCCUCACAACAGUGGCCAGGCCCUUUCCUCCAGCUCGUCCAGCCCCGAGCUACCUUUAAGUGAAUGAUUUUGGACUGGCCAAUUCUUCAGCGUACCUUGAAAUGCUGGGAUAGGCUCCAGCAUCUCUGCGACCCUGCGGAGGAUAAAGAGGUUUGGAGAAUGGAUGGAUGGAUUUAUAUUUUUCUGUCAAGCAGGGCAGUGAGAAUUGAGCA
Non-coding RNA from Pimephales promelas (fathead minnow), 475 nucleotides. Lineage: Eukaryota; Metazoa; Chordata; Actinopteri; Cypriniformes; Leuciscidae. The record is from RefSeq and is a predicted model, not a curated record.